CCUACGGGUGGCAGCAGUGAGGAAUAUUGGUCAAUGGGCGGGAGCCUGAACCAGCCAAGUCGCGUGAGGGAAGACGGUCCUCUGGAGUGUAAACCUCUUUAGGCGGGGAGCAAUGCCGGGCACGCGUGCCCGGAGGGAGAGUACCCGCAGAAUAAGCAUCGGCUAACUACGUGCCAGCAGCCGCGGUAAUACGGAGGAUGCGAGCGUUAGCCGGAUGGAGUGGGUUUAGAGGGGGCGUAGGCGGAUUUUUCAGUCAGCGGUAAAAUGUCCGGGCUCAACCCGGGCCGGCCGUUGAAACUGGGGAUCUUGAGUGGGCGAGAAGUAUGCGGAAUGCGUGGUGUAGCGGUGAAAUGCAUAGAUAUCACGAAGAACUCCGAUUGCGAAGGCAGCACACCGGCGCCCGACUGACGCUGAGGCACGAAAGCGUGGGGAUCGAACAGGAUUAGAUACCCUGGUAGUC
This 460-nucleotide ribosomal RNA is filed under the name uncultured bacterium. RNAcentral describes it as "partial 16S ribosomal RNA". It matches the Rfam family "Bacterial small subunit ribosomal RNA", at positions 338 to 795 of the family's 1533-position model. The record is from RNAcentral.